RNAcentral lists this ribosomal RNA (253 nucleotides) under uncultured bacterium. RNAcentral's name for it is "partial 16S ribosomal RNA". It matches the Rfam family "Bacterial small subunit ribosomal RNA", at positions 524 to 776 of the family's 1533-position model. The record is from RNAcentral.
UACGUAGGGCGCAAGCGUUAUCCGGAAUUAUUGGGCGUAAAGAGCUCGUAGGCGGUUUGUCGCGUCUGCCGUGAAAGUCCGGGGCUCAACUCCGGAUCUGCGGUGGGUACGGGCAGACUAGAGUGAUGUAGGGGAGACUGGAAUUCCUGGUGUAGCGGUGAAAUGCGCAGAUAUCAGGAGGAACACCGGUGGCGAAGGCGGCUUCCUGGACAAAAACUGACGCUGAGGCGCGAAAGUGUGGGGAGCGAACAGG